AGGAUAAACGCUGGCGGCGUGCCUAACACAUGCAAGUCGAACGUCUCUUUCUUCGGGAAGAGGAGUGGCGGACGGGUGAGGAACACGUGGGAACCUGCCCUUUAGUGAGGAAUACCGGCGAGAAAUCGCCGACAAGACCGCAUAGCCCUCUUUGAUGAGAGUCAAAGAAGGAAAGCUUCGCAAGAGGCGCUAGAGGAGGGGCCUGCGUCCGAUUAGCUAGUUGGUGGGGUAAGAGCCUACCAAGGCGUCGAUCGGUAGCUGGUCUGAGAGGACGAUCAGCCACACUGGGAUUGAGAACGGCCCAGACUCCUACGGGGGGCAGCAGUGAGGAAUCUUCCGCAAUGGGGGCAACCCGUGACGGAGCAACGCCGCGUGCAGGAGGACGCUUUCGGAGUGUAAACUGCUUUCUCGAGGAAGAGUCGGACGGUACUCGAGGAAGAGCCCGGCUAACUACGUGCCAGCAGCCGC
This 468-nucleotide ribosomal RNA is filed under the name uncultured bacterium. Its description in RNAcentral is "SSU rRNA". It matches the Rfam family "Bacterial small subunit ribosomal RNA", at positions 26 to 518 of the family's 1533-position model. The record is from RNAcentral.